RNAcentral lists this long non-coding RNA (441 nucleotides) under Vicia faba (fava bean). The record is from RNAcentral. Lineage: Eukaryota; Viridiplantae; Streptophyta; Magnoliopsida; Fabales; Fabaceae.
AUGAAGAGCCCAUGGGGGUGUGGACAAGGGAAAAAGGCGUUUGGUCCAGUAAUUCAGGGGCUAAGCCCAAUUUGUGAGUCCAAAAGCGAUUUUUUGUUCUUCCGCUUCAGGUGUGUCAAAAAUGGUGGUACAUGGGCUUCCGAAGAGCAUGAAGAAAAAUGGCAAAAGAACGAAGAACGAAGAGAAGCCAAAGCUUACCGACCGGAUAACAUUUGGUGCUUCUUUAGAGUGAUGAAGAUGAUGAGAACACCAGAGAAAACUACUCAAGAACUCAGGUGGUAUAGGAGAUAUACAUUUGUGCAUGGAGCAAUUUUUGAAGGAAGGUCAUACAAGAAAUCAUGCAUCAUCAAUAAACUUGGCAUUGGGACCAAGGGUCAUGGAAUUAGGGUUUCGCUAUGGUUUUUAAACUUUCCUCUUCAUUCAAGGUUAUCAAGCUACUAA